Molecule: ribosomal RNA, 426 nt
Filed under: uncultured bacterium
Lineage: Bacteria
Description: bacterial SSU rRNA
Rfam family: Bacterial small subunit ribosomal RNA
Source: RNAcentral
AGGGAAUCUUCCACAAUGGACGAAAGUCUGAUGGAGCAACGCCGCGUGAGUGAUGAAGGUUUUCGGAUCGUAAAUCUCUGUUGUAAGGGAAGAACCAGUACGUCAGGCAAUGGACGUACCUUGACGGUACCUUAUUAGAACGCCACGGCUAACUACGUGCCAGCAGCCGCGGUAAUACGUAGGUGGCAAGCGUUGUCCGGAAUUAUUGGGCGUAAAGCGCGCGCAGGCGGUCUGUCAAGUCGGAUGUGAAAUCCCCGGGCUCAACCUGGGAACUGCAUUCGAAACUGGCAGGCUUGAGUCUCGUAGAGGGGGGUAGAAUUCCAGGUGUAGCGGUGAAAUGCGUAGAGAUCUCGAGGAAUACCGGUGGCGAAGGCGGCCCCCUGGACGAAGACUGACGCUCAGGUGCGAAAGCGUGGGGAGCAAACA